Molecule: transfer RNA, 83 nt
Filed under: Felis catus (domestic cat)
Lineage: Eukaryota; Metazoa; Chordata; Mammalia; Carnivora; Felidae
Also listed under: 1 other name
Rfam family: tRNA
About the family: Transfer RNA (tRNA) molecules are approximately 80 nucleotides in length. Their secondary structure includes four short double-helical elements and three loops (D, anti-codon, and T loops).
Source: Rfam by way of RNAcentral
GCUCAGUUGGUUGAGCAUCCAACUCUUGAUUUUGGUUCAGGUCAUGAUCUCGCUGUUAAUGGGUUCAAGCCCCAUAUUGGGCU